RNAcentral lists this ribosomal RNA (494 nucleotides) under uncultured bacterium. RNAcentral describes it as "partial 16S ribosomal RNA". It matches the Rfam family "Bacterial small subunit ribosomal RNA", at positions 28 to 507 of the family's 1533-position model. The record is from RNAcentral.
GACGAACGCUGGCGGCGUGCUUAACACAUGCAAGUCGAACGGUGAAGCGCCUUCCUUUUUGGUGGGUGUGGAUGAGUGGCGAACGGGUGAGUAACACGUGAGUAACCUGCCCCCUUCUUCUGGAUAACCGCAUGAAAGUGUGGCUAAUACGGGAUAUUCUGGGUCUGUCGCAUGAUGGGUCUGGGAAAGAUAUUGUUUCGGUGGGGGAUGGGCUCGCGGCCUAUCAGCUUGUUGGUGGGGUGAUGGCCUACCAAGGCGGUGACGGGUAGCCGGCCUGAGAGGGUGGACGGUCACACUGGGACUGAGACACGGCCCAGACUCCUACGGGAGGCAGCAGUGGGGAAUAUUGCACAAUGGGCGCAAGCCUGAUGCAGCGACGCCGCGUGAGGGAUGGAGGCCUUCGGGUGGUGAACCUCUUUCGCCAGUGAAGCAGGCCUGCCUCGUUUGUGGGUGGGUUGACGGUAGCUGGAGAAGAAGCGCCGGCUAACUACGUG